RNAcentral lists this transfer RNA (73 nucleotides) under Candidatus Yanofskybacteria bacterium RIFCSPLOWO2_01_FULL_49_17. Its description in RNAcentral is "tRNA-Cys". It matches the Rfam family "tRNA". From Rfam's summary of the family: Transfer RNA (tRNA) molecules are approximately 80 nucleotides in length. Their secondary structure includes four short double-helical elements and three loops (D, anti-codon, and T loops). Lineage: Bacteria; Candidatus Yanofskyibacteriota. The record is from RNAcentral.
GGUCACGUGGCGAAUUAGUAAACGCGGCGGUCUGCAAAACCGCUACUUGUGGGUGCGAUCCCCACCGUGACCU